AACGCGAAGAACCUUACCUGGGCUCGAAAUGCUGUGGACCAGCUGGUGAAAGCCGGCCUUCCCGCAAGGGACUGCAGUAUAGGUGCUGCAUGGCUGUCGUCAGCUCGUGUCGUGAGAUGUUGGGUUAAGUCCCGCAACGAGCGCAACCCUUGUCCUGUGUUGCCAUACCGAAAGGUGGAACUCGCAGGAGACCGCCAGGGAUAACCUGGAGGAAGGUGGGGAUGACGUCAAGUCCUCAUGGCCUUUAUGUCCAGGGCUACACACGUGCUACAAUGGACGGUACAAAGGGCUGCCAACCCGCGAGGGGGAGCCAAUCCCAAAAAACCGUUCUCAGUUCGGAUUGCAGGCUGCAACUCGCCUGCAUGAAGCUGGAAUCGCUAGUAAUGGCAGAUCAGAACGCUGCCGUGAAUACGUUCCCGGGCCUUGUACACACCGACAUA
Molecule: ribosomal RNA, 440 nt
Filed under: uncultured bacterium
Lineage: Bacteria
Description: bacterial SSU rRNA
Rfam family: Bacterial small subunit ribosomal RNA
Source: RNAcentral